RNAcentral lists this ribosomal RNA (779 nucleotides) under uncultured Neocallimastigales. RNAcentral describes it as "partial large subunit ribosomal RNA". It matches the Rfam family "Eukaryotic large subunit ribosomal RNA", at positions 23 to 647 of the family's 3401-position model. The record is from RNAcentral. Lineage: Eukaryota; Fungi; Neocallimastigomycota; Neocallimastigomycetes; Neocallimastigales.
AUAGAGACUCAGAGCUGCAUAUCAAUAAGCGGAGGAAAAGAAACUAACAAGGAUUCCCCUAGUAACGGCGAGUGAAGCGGGAAGAGCUCAAAUUUGAAAUCUUAAAGGGUUUCCCUUGACGAAUUGUAGUUUAUAGAAGUGUUUUCUGUUAGUAGAGUUUGGUAAAAGUUCUUUGGAAUAGGACAUCAUAGAGGGUGAGAAUCCCGUAUUUGGACCUUUACUUUCUAGCUUUGUGAUACACUUUCAAAGAGUCGGAUUGUUUGGGAAUGCAGUCCAAAAUGGGUGGUAAAUUUCAUCUAAAGCUAAAUAUUGGCGAGAGACCGAUAGCGAACAAGUACCGUGAGGGAAAGAUGAAAAGAACUUUGAAAAGAGAGUUAAACAGUACGUGAAAUUGUCAAAAGGGAAGCGUUUGACACCAGUGCUUGUUUUUCUGAAAAUCAAUUAAAGAACUGUUUAUGCUAAGUUGUUUAGACUUUAUCAGCUAACUGUUUAGUUUUGAGCUUUUCUUUAAUGCACUUUUCAGUUAACAAGUCAACAUCAAUUUCUUUUGCUGUAAAAAAGCUUGAGGAAGGUGGCUUGAGAUUCGUCUUAAGUGUUUAUAGCCUCUUGCCUAUGCAGUCGGAGAGAUUGAGGUCUGCAGCGUAGAUCCUUCGGGGCUAAAUGCAUUUGUGCUAAGUUAUAGCAUUUUAUAGACAACUUGUUGACUAUGAUUAGUCUUGUAGCUUACUCGCUUAUGCUAUUUUACCUACGCUUAGGAUGUUGACGCAUGAGAUAUACGC